AGCCUCUUGCAAAUUCAUGUGGGACAUGGAAACGUGAAAGAAGAAAAGCUUUGUUGUGAUUUACUCUGUGGCCCUCCGAGACUUCGUGUAACAGCAACUGCAUUUUAAUGCAAUGGCAGCUAUGGAAAACACAAAACUAUCAGUCAUUGUCAAAUACUCCAUAAAUGGAGACAGAGAAGGGGUUCAGUUCUCUGUGUAACAAGGACAGAGGAGAAAGGCAUCUGCAGUGUCAAAUCUACAGAGACAAGUGCACCUGGAGACAAAUGACCAGACUACCAUAAAACAGAAGCUUAAUUAUGUUCACUUACAUUUUCAAAUUAUUCCCAACAAAUUACCCUGCUGAUCCUGCAUUGAGUGCAAGCAAAAAACUGUCAAGUUUUCCCUGGAUCUUUGGGCUUUCAUUUCUGAAGUCUCCUGUGUCACGUAAAACUUUGUUAAAUAAAUUUGUUAUGCUUUUCUC
Long non-coding RNA from Homo sapiens (human), 460 nucleotides. Ensembl annotates it as long intergenic non-protein coding RNA 446. Lineage: Eukaryota; Metazoa; Chordata; Mammalia; Primates; Hominidae. The record is from Ensembl.